AAAUCAAUAAACCCAUAUAAUAUAUGGGUUUGUGCUGGGCCUCUCACCUGAUAGGGUGUCGCCUCAAAGUCAUAGGUCUUAUGAGCGGAUGGAGAUCCAUUAGGACUUGACCGUUUGUGGAGACCCUAAAUCUCUAG
This 137-nucleotide unclassified non-coding RNA is filed under the name uncultured Archaeorhizomyces. RNAcentral describes it as "sequence contains ITS2". The record is from RNAcentral. Lineage: Eukaryota; Fungi; Ascomycota; Archaeorhizomycetes; Archaeorhizomycetales; Archaeorhizomycetaceae.